CUGGGUAGGAGCCGGCUUGAGGCAUCUGAUUGUUGCUCAGAGGGGGCGCGCGCGUGCGCGCUUACCCAGG
RNAcentral lists this transfer RNA (70 nucleotides) under Notospermus geniculatus. RNAcentral's name for it is "tRNA-Asn". The record is from RNAcentral. Lineage: Eukaryota; Metazoa; Nemertea; Pilidiophora; Heteronemertea; Lineidae.